This 495-nucleotide ribosomal RNA is filed under the name uncultured bacterium. RNAcentral describes it as "partial 16S ribosomal RNA". It matches the Rfam family "Bacterial small subunit ribosomal RNA", at positions 28 to 507 of the family's 1533-position model. The record is from RNAcentral.
GACGAACGCGGGCGGCGUGCCUAAUACAUGCAAGUAGAACGCUGAAGGAGGAGCUUGCUCUUCUGGAUGAGUUGCGAACGGGUGAGUAACGCGUAGGUAACCUGCCUGGUAGCGGGGGAUAACUAUUGGAAACGAUAGCUAAUACCGCAUAACAGUAGAUGUUGCAUGACAUUUACUUAAAAGGUGCAAUUGCAUCACUACCAGAUGGACCUGCGUUGUAUUAGCUAGUUGGUGGGGUAACGGCUCACCAAGGCGACGAUACAUAGCCGACCUGAGAGGGUGAUCGGCCACACUGGGACUGAGACACGGCCCAGACUCCUACGGGAGGCAGCAGUAGGGAAUCUUCGGCAAUGGACGGAAGUCUGACCGAGCAACGCCGCGUGAGUGAAGAAGGUUUUCGGAUCGUAAAGCUCUGUUGUAAGAGAAGAACGAGUGUGAGAGUGGAAAGUUCACACUGUGACGGUAUCUUACCAGAAAGGGACGGCUAACUGCGUG